AACAUAUUCCUGGCCGGAGUCGAUACGGGAGCAAUAACCAUGGUUUGGGCCAUGGCAGAGCUUGCUAGACACCCUAGAGUUAUGAGAAAAGCACAAGAAGAAAUCAGAUCUUGCAUUGGAAAUAAAAGAACAGUCUCUGAAAAUGACAUUGAUAAGCUUGUAUACCUAAAGAUGGUAGUGAAAGAAACAAUGAGACUGCACCCACCAAGCACACUACUAGUUCCAAGAGAAACCAUGUCCAAAUUCAGCAUCAAUGGCUAUGAGAUUCAGCCCAAGACUCGAAUCCAAGUCAAUGUGUGGGCAAUAGGAAGGGACCCCAAGAUUUGGAGAAACCCAGAAGAGUUCUUUCCGGA
Molecule: unclassified non-coding RNA, 353 nt
Filed under: Hevea brasiliensis (rubber tree)
Lineage: Eukaryota; Viridiplantae; Streptophyta; Magnoliopsida; Malpighiales; Euphorbiaceae
Source: RNAcentral